RNAcentral lists this ribosomal RNA (253 nucleotides) under uncultured bacterium. RNAcentral describes it as "partial 16S ribosomal RNA". It matches the Rfam family "Bacterial small subunit ribosomal RNA", at positions 524 to 776 of the family's 1533-position model. The record is from RNAcentral.
UACGUAGGGGGCAAGCGUUGUCCGGAUUCAUUGGGCGUAAAGAGCGUGUAGGCGGCCAGGUAGGUCGGUUGUGAAAACUGGAGGCUCAACCUUCAGAGGUCGACCGAAACCAUCUGGCUAGAGUCCGGGAGAGGAGAGUGGAAUUCCUGGUGUAGCGGUGAAAUGCGCAGAUAUCAGGAAGAACACCCGUGGCGAAGGCGGUUCUCUGGGCAUGUCCUGACGCUGAGGAGCGAAAGUGUGGGGAGCGAACAGG